RNAcentral lists this ribosomal RNA (230 nucleotides) under uncultured bacterium. RNAcentral describes it as "partial 16S ribosomal RNA". It matches the Rfam family "Bacterial small subunit ribosomal RNA", at positions 15 to 237 of the family's 1533-position model. The record is from RNAcentral.
GAUCAUGGCUCAGGAUGAACGCUAGCUACAGGCUUAACACAUGCAAGUCGAGGGGCAGCAUCAUCAAAGCUUGCUUUGAUGGAUGGCGACCGGCGCACGGGUGAGUAACACGUAUCCAACCUGCCGACAACUCUGGGAUAGCCUUUCGAAAGAAAGAUUAAUACCGGAUGGCAUAGUCUUCCCGCAUGGGAUGAUUAUUAAAGAAUUUCGGUUGUCGAUGGGGAUGCGUU